AUGCAAACGUCGUGCACUUGUUACCCGGAUGAUCUACUCGCCAAAACGGCAGUUUGUCAUCUUAAAAAUAUUUCCCAUCAAACUAGGAAAUGUCAGGAAUCAUCUAGAUUGUCCUUCACUGAGUUGUGUUUUCCUGAGAGAGAUGAAACUUCAGCUAGCUGUGUUUCUGCACCAACAAACACCAAAGGAAGUAAGAUGAUGGAGGGAUUUUUUGUUUUAUUUAUUGUUGUUUGAGUGGGUUAAUGUGGUUUCUCCUCAGAUGACAGGAUUUACAUCUUGGGCUCUUGAUGUCUACUGUACAUCAAGGACGUCUGUAAUACCUGGAGAAAGCCGUUCGUUAGUAUUCUCAUUCAUCUCAGAGACAGUUGCUCAGCUGCUGUAGGAUGUACGUGAUUGGAAAUCUGCUAUCUUUGCUCAUGGGAACAAUAGAAAUAUACAGUACUUUCAGAGAUCCAUGAACCAGCCGACUUUUUAUAUAACUUUCUUUUAUUAUUUUUGGUUUCUUUGUUUGUUUGUUCUUGUUUUGAAAGUCGCUUUGGAUAAAAGCAUCUGCUAAAUGUUUUAAUUGAACUGAAUUGUAUUUAUUUAUUUAUUUAUUAUUGUUGUUAUUAUUAUUUUUUAUAGUUCAUUUAUAGUAUAUGAAAAGCUGUCUAUUAGUAUUAUGUGUGAUGCACCUGCUAACCAGCUAAAUCUUGAACAUCGACUCCUUUUAUUAUUAUUUUUAAAUAUGUUAUUUUAUUUAUUUUCUUUUUUUUCUUUUUACUUUAUCACUCAUUUAUAGCUAUAGAGGAUAACUAUUUAUAAGUAUACUUUUUGGCCCAUUUUGUUUUAUUUUUGUUUAAUUAUUUUAUUGUUUUUAUUAACUAAUUUAUUUUAUUUUUAAACUUUUUUUAAACUUUUUUGGCUAAACCUAUUUGAUUUUAGUUAUUAUUUAAUUAUGUAAUGUUUUUAUGGUUCAUUUUAUGGAUAGCUCUCUAUAAAUAUUGGAUUUUUGGCCCAUGCUAACCAUCUAAACC
Long non-coding RNA from Cyprinus carpio (common carp), 1016 nucleotides. The record is from Ensembl. NCBI's taxonomy places the organism in Eukaryota, Metazoa, Chordata, Actinopteri, Cypriniformes, Cyprinidae.